AAUUACUGCAACAAGAAUUGCUUUAAAAAUUAAGUAUUCUGUUAGCUUGUCGCACUGCCUGCUUUGUCCUCUCCAUUCUAAGCUCUGAAACCAAGCCACAACUUUCAUGUGUGGGAUGAGAACUCCCCUCUUCAAUCUCAUGUGGACUUGCAUCUUCGAAGUUCAAACUCUUUAUCCUCCUGAUUAAGAGACAGAAAGAAUGUAUGGAAGGCACAUCUAGAGCCAAAAUCCAGAGUAAUAAAAGAGGUAGCAAGUAGAAAAUAUCAGUAUAUUAGUAUUUUAAAUUUGCUGGGUAGAGAAUGCAAGUGCACAGCUACAGCUUCAUGCGGUGAUCAUGAUAAGAAAUGAAGGCAGCAGGUUACUUUCUCAUGGGUGCAGUAACCACUCUCUCGUACUGGCUCUGAUUCUACAUCAGGUAAACUUAGUGUGCCAGCCAACACAAAACAACAUUGCCUGGUUAUCAACAGGGAGGAUCUAUAAGAGCUUGUUUUCGAGGAGCUUAAUUUUAUUGAGCACACCCUCAUCAGCCACAAGAAAUUGAAGGCAUCAACUAGGUUAGCAAAGGGAAAACUUAUUCCCACUCCAAAACCUGUUAAUGCCGCUCCAACCUCCACCCUCAAGAAUAACAAUUUUGGAGCGGGAUUAGCAAUUUUGGAGCUUGAUUACCUGUUUGCUUUCCAAUUACAAAAAAAUUUACUUGCAUAAAGUGAUUCAGAUUUUAGCAAUUCUAUCUGGGGAAUUAAAUUGUAGCAAUCAUUGCAGCCCAUAUCUUUCCCGUGAAUCUCAGGGUAUGCCACAGAAGCAGCACAAUUUUUUCUUUUUUUUUGGUCGAAUUAUAGUGGGAAAAUAGGGAUAGGACUUUACACCAGCGGCUUGGAAAAGGGGUUGAUCUCUUACAGCUAUACUGAAAAUUCACAUGUUAAUCAGCCUUCAUAUGAAAGCAAAUACUCUCGAAAAAAAAGUUAGUAUAUAUUUAUAAUGUUCAUAGGAUUGCCAAUUGUGAACUUCUCAGACUAAUGACGCACAUAAGAUUGCAGAAAAUGACAAAUGAAUGUUAACUCAAGGUUAUCCACAUGUAAAUCAAUCAGCACCCUGAAGAGGAGAGCAGUAGUAGCAGGUUCUACAGUAUUCAAGAAUCCAAAAGCCCAGGUUGCAUCAAGAAUUCAAAACUUGAAAAGAGGAAAUAAAUUGCAAGAUAUAUGGAACCUUUACCACAACUGUACAUGGACAGCAGACAGAAACAAGAAUGCUUGUCCAAGGGGAGAGAUAAAAUCAUAGUAUACAAGUGUUUAAACUUUUUACCCCAUAUGAAUAAAUCACUUCAAAAUUAAUUCAAUCCGUUGUCUCUUAUAAUCCAUCUGUUUUUCAAUAAAAACAAAAUGGCUGGACCAGUUCAAGCUAAGGUCAGAUGAAAGAAUUGUAAGAACUAGAAACCUCUGUUUUCAACAUCAACUGCAAAAAACACACUGGGAACGUUUAGAUAAGGGAUUUUCUUCCUCAGAAGCUUUUUCCAAAAGUUUCAUUAGAUAAGUUGCUUUUGGAAAAGAGCACCUUUUUAUCAUCAGCUCCAUCUUUACACACAAUUAUAGGAGCAUCGCUUUUGGCAUUUCUUAACUUUUCCGCCAAUAUUUUGUUCUCCCUUGUCAAAGAAAAUAGCUGCAUAAAACAUGUCAUAAGGGCAGAACUGGAGAUGGAUUUUAUAGUCCUAUUAGCCUGUUAUAGAUGGCAACAUAAAUUUACACACUUCUAUUUUAAGGGGGGCGGGAAAAAGCAGAAAAUAAGGUAACAUAACUGAGAAAAGGGGAGGGAAAAGGAAUUAAGCAAUAUUAUGAUUGUCAAUGGAUAUCUCAUGGAAAUCAGUGAUCCAAUUUUGUUUUGCAUACUAAAGGCCAAUUAGCUAAGCCUGGUAGCACCCAUGAUGGAACCAUUACAUUGGUAGUAUAAGCUUUAGGGUAUCACGUGCUGCCUUUGAAAUUUCUAUUAACAAUAGCAAUGACAAAUUCCAUUUUUUUUCCACUAGCUCUGUUAUAUGGUAGACUUAAAUAAAAUAUUAUAGGAGAGGUAUAAAACAUGUCUACUUAUGGCAGAAAUUCAAAUGCACUAUUAAGUUCCUACAUUCAAUUUGAAAGCAAACGAUGGAACAGGCACUCUAAAGUUACAGGUUCAAAUUAAUGUUAGUAGUAAAUAUGCAGCUAAUUUAAUACCUGAUUCUGGAUGUGCUCCCUUGCUCUGGUUAAUUGCCUUACUGUAUCCAUGAUAAGCCUGGUCCU
Molecule: unclassified non-coding RNA, 2270 nt
Filed under: Hevea brasiliensis (rubber tree)
Lineage: Eukaryota; Viridiplantae; Streptophyta; Magnoliopsida; Malpighiales; Euphorbiaceae
Source: RNAcentral